RNAcentral lists this ribosomal RNA (119 nucleotides) under Diaphorina citri (Asian citrus psyllid). The record is from RNAcentral. Lineage: Eukaryota; Metazoa; Arthropoda; Insecta; Hemiptera; Psyllidae.
ACCAGCAGCGAUAGCACGUUGUCUGCAUCAGUUUUUUAAUGAAUCACUGAAUUCAAGCAACGUUUCGCAUGGUUGGUAUUCGGAUGGGUGACCAUUUGGCCAAUCGCGUGCUGCUUUUU